CGGGGCCGGGCCCGGCUCUGCGCGGUGUCAGGGCCGCAGCCGUGCUUGCUCGUUUGCUUUAUCGCACACACUGGCAAAGAACUGUUAUUCCUUCCUCAUCUCUUUGCCUGAGAGCCCCUUAAUGUCAGAAUUAUAAUAAUUUGGAGAAAAGGGGUUUCCAUUUUCCAUUCCAAGGCAGGCUCCUGCCUUCCUUAGCAGACACCUGUCUUUCAAACCAAGACGAAGUAUAAAUCAAGGCUUUGUUCAUUCUGGAUUAGGAGACUUAUAGAAAGGUCCAGCAAUGGCAGCAGCCUUAACCCCUGGGAAAUCAAGGAGAACAUUUACUGCCAAAUACAGAAAAGGGAGACAGGGAGUCUUAACAGCAGAUAUGAAUGAGUUGCCAGGUAUAGUGGUGAUUUCUGUACAAGAUAAUCAAUAUAGAUCAGUAUACUUUUUUAUCUCAUUUACAGUAAGUUAUUUUGACAGAACUGGAACCCAUCUCAUCUAGCAUAGAUGUCUACAAAGCAUACCGAUUACCUAGUUACUUAGUCAAAAUCAGCAGUGAGAGCCAAAUGACACUUUUGUACUGCCCUUUGAAUGUGAUUUCUUCCUUCCAUCUUUGUCAUGACUUCUUCACAUAUGAUACAGUUUCUUUCUUUCAUAUGACUAAAAAGGGACUUAGCUAGCCCAGAUGCAAAUGUCUAAAUUUCAGAUUUUUAAUUUCAUAGAGAUAAAUCCCAAUUUUCCAGUCUGCGGAAGACAGAAGUUAAUCAUAUGUCUCAAAAGUAAGUAAUAUUUGCAAACAAAUGGAACAAUGUAAUUCUCCCUUCUCUUGCUGAAAUCUAUAAUUUUAUUUCUAAUUCCAAAAGUAUUUGAGCUUCAAAUUGAUAUUUUCUUAUUAGUAUUUCAUACACAUCAUCUAAUUUCUACCAUAAUUAGUAAUACUGAAGAAACCAACUUUGCCCCUCCCCUUAAAUUUUUCAGCUAAUUGUAGAAUAUCCAUAUUGAGCACAUCCAGUCUAAUAUACGUCAGGAUGUAGGAGAAUGCUGCAGGUGAACUAAACUAGUGUUUUGGGCUCCCUGUAUGCAACUCAGUUUGUCUAGAACAUCAUUUUAAUAGUGCAUGUUCCCUUCAAAAGGUUUUACGCUUGCUGUCUUGUUGAAAACCUUUGCUCCAGGCCUUCUUUAAUAACAAGAUAUUCUGUUUUCUCUCCAGGUGGGGUUUCUCAGGUUAUAUGGCAUCUGAGUAACAGUAUUUUUUUGUAUCCUGUUUAACCACGUACUUUAUGAGACUUUUGUUUUGUUCUUUAGAAUUUUCUAUAAAGGUAUUCUUUCACAAUAACUCUGAACAGAUCAAGCAGAUACAGAUGGGGAUUUCUUCCAGCAAAUAUUAUAAGUAAUUGGAAAAAAAAAAAUAAAAUCUUAUUUUUAGAAACAACUAAGGUUUUGAAAACACUUUCGACUUAGAUUUAGAAGAGGACAGAGGAACACCUGAAGAAGUGAAAGAUCUUCAGCUGUUGGCUGAAAAAAAUUAUAUUAAGUAAUAAAAAUUAAUUCAAAUAUUCCAACAUGCUGUUUCUAAUCUACUUUUCCCUCAAGACCCCAUAUGCAAAUAUCAAAUAAUAUCAUAGAAACCAAUAGGCACUCUAACAGCAAGGAACAAGUGAUAACUUAUUCUUGAGCACAACUAAAUAACAAGAUCUCCUUAAGGAAAAGUUAUUAGACCUGCUACCCAGCUGGAUAGAUUUUCUAACCAUACUUUUUCUCUAUCCUUUGAGACUUAAGGCCCUAGAGGCACUUUUCUUUAUUUGUUUAUUAAGUGAGUAUGAUAUUUAAAUAAUAAUUCUCUUGUUCUUAAUCUACUUAAAAUGAAAUUUCCAGGAUUUCAAUCACUUUUCAAAUUAUUGCACUAAAAAUGCUCAUUAAGUAGAUUACAGACAGUAUAGAUAUUACCUCAGGUCCACACAAUAUUUUGGUUCCUAAAAAAUUGCAUAGGAAUUUUUAGUAAACACUUAAAACUUUCUUCUGAAAAGCAAAAUAAUUGGACACCAAUCCUCCACUGUGUUUCACAGAUUUAACUCAAGGUUACUGGCCUCAACUUCAACUGAUAAUAGAUGACCUACAGAGUAUUCUAUAUUCUGCAGAGUAUAAAAUUAGCCUGUAAUGGGAUACUAGUGCAUAUAUAAAACACAAACAUAUGACAAAUAAGUAAGAAUGAUAAAAUACAGAUAUACACAACAUUGCAAAGGUAAAAUUUCAGCAAAUCACAGCUGGCCAAACCCUAGCAGUAAAGAUACAUCACUUUUUAAAAACAAAUAGAGCAAAACAUUUUGGUCUUGACAGCAUGCUGUUUCUCCUAUAUGUUUUAUGUUAUUUCUCAAAUUUAGAAAGACAGCCCUUGUUAUAUUUAAUAUAUAUCAGUAUACUGAGGAGGACAACUCUUCUUCAGUUUUUAAUCUAGUCACACAUAGGCCCUGACUGCCAAAAUUACAAAUUACAAAGAAAUUUUAUACUUAAGAAUUACUACUUAACAGUGCAAACAUUUAACAGUGCAAAAUACAAGAAACUGUACAGAAACUCAUCAUAA
Molecule: long non-coding RNA, 2566 nt
Organism: Passer domesticus (house sparrow)
Lineage: Eukaryota; Metazoa; Chordata; Aves; Passeriformes; Passeridae
Exons: 2
Source: RefSeq, a predicted model, not a curated record